Molecule: unclassified non-coding RNA, 520 nt
Filed under: uncultured Glomus
Lineage: Eukaryota; Fungi; Glomeromycota; Glomeromycetes; Glomerales; Glomeraceae
Description: SSU rRNA
Rfam family: Eukaryotic small subunit ribosomal RNA
Source: RNAcentral
AGCAGCCGCGGUAAUUCCAGCUCCAAUAGCGUAUAUUAAAGUUGUUGCAGUUAAAAAGCUCGUAGUUGAAUUUCGGGGUUAGUAGGUUGGUCAUGCCUCUGGUAUGUACUGGUCUCACUGAUUCCUCCUUCCUGAUGAACCUUAAUGCCAUUAAUUUGGUGUUUUGGGGAAUUUGGACUGUUACUUUGAAAAAAUUAGAGUGUUUAAAGCAAGCUAACGCUUGAAUACAUUAGCAUGGAAUAAUGAAAUAGGACGUUCGAUCCUAUUUUGUUGGUUUCUAGGAUUGACGUAAUGAUUAAUAGGGAUAGUUGGGGGCAUUAGUAUUCAAUUGUCAGAGGUGAAAUUCUUGGAUUUAUUGAAGACUAACUACUGCGAAAGCAUUUGCCAAGGAUGUUUUCAUUAAUCAAGAACGAAAGUUAGGGGAUCGAAGACGAUCAGAUACCGUCGUAGUCUUAACCAUAAACUAUGCCGACUAGGGAUCGGAUGAUGUUAAUUUUUAAUGUACUCAUUCGGCGCCUUA